Oryza sativa Indica Group (long-grained rice) is the source of this 203-nucleotide microRNA precursor. It matches the Rfam family "MIR812 microRNA precursor family". The record is from Rfam. Lineage: Eukaryota; Viridiplantae; Streptophyta; Magnoliopsida; Poales; Poaceae.
AAAAAGACAAACCAUAGUUUCUGUGUCCAACUUUGAAUGUCUGUCUUAUAUAAAUUUUUUUAUAAUUCGUAUUUUCAUUGUUGCUAGAUGAUAAAACAUGAUUAAUAUUUUAUGCGUGACUUGUCUUUUUAAUUGUUUUCAUAAUUUUUUUAAAUAAGACGGACGGUCAAACGUUGGACACGGAAAUUAGAGUUUAACUUUUU